This 355-nucleotide ribosomal RNA is filed under the name uncultured bacterium. Its description in RNAcentral is "bacterial SSU rRNA". It matches the Rfam family "Bacterial small subunit ribosomal RNA", at positions 527 to 881 of the family's 1533-position model. The record is from RNAcentral.
GUAGGUCACAAGCGUUGUCCGGAAUUACUGGGUGUAAAGGGAGCGCAGGCGGGAAGACAAGUUGGAAGUGAAAUCCAUGGGCUCAACCCAUGAACUGCUUUCAAAACUGUUUUUCUUGAGUAGUGCAGAGGUAGGCGGAAUUCCCGGUGUAGCGGUGGAAUGCGUAGAUAUCGGGAGGAACACCAGUGGCGAAGGCGGCCUACUGGGCACCAACUGACGCUGAGGCUCGAAAGUGUGGGUAGCAAACAGGAUUAGAUACCCUGGUAGUCCACACUGUAAACGAUGAUUACUAGGUGUUGGAGGAUUGACCCCUUCAGUGCCGCAGUUAACACAAUAAGUAAUCCACCUGGGGAGU